CCUACGGGAGGCAGCAGUGGGGAAUAUUGCACAAUGGGGGAAACCCUGAUGCAGCGACGCCGCGUGAGUGAAGAAGUAUCUCGGUAUGUAAAGCUCUAUCAGCAGGGAAGAAGAAAGACGGUACCUGACUAAGAAGCCCCGGCUAACUACGUGCCAGCAGCCGCGGUAGUACGUAGGGGGCAAGCGUUAUCCGGAUUUACUGGGUUUAAAGGGAGCGUAGACGGCUGUGCAAGUCUGAAGUGAAAGCCCAGGGCUCAACCCUAGGACUGCUUUGGAAACUGUGGAGCUAGAGUGCUGGAGAGGUAAGUGGAAUUCGUGGUGUAGCGGUGAAAUGCGUAGAUAUUAGGAGGAACACCGGUUGCGAAGGCAGCUUACUGGACAGUAACUGACGUUGAGGCUCGAAAGCGUGGGGAGCAAACAGGAUUAGAUACCCGAGUAGUC
Molecule: ribosomal RNA, 441 nt
Filed under: uncultured bacterium
Lineage: Bacteria
Description: partial 16S ribosomal RNA
Rfam family: Bacterial small subunit ribosomal RNA
Source: RNAcentral